AUGUCCACCUCUGGACACGAGGGAGCGUUGACCUCUGGACACGAGGGAGCGUCGACCUCUGGAAAAGAGGGAGCGUCAACCUCUGGACACGAGGGAGCGUCAGCCUCUGGACACGAGGGAGCGUCAGCCUCUGGACUGGAAAGAGCGUCGACCUCUGGACCGGAAAGAGCGUCGACCUCUGGACCGGAAAGAGCGUCGACCUCUGGACCGGAAAGAGCGUCAACCUCUGGACCGGAAAGAGCAUCGACCUCUGGACCGGAAAGAGAGUCAACCUCUGGACCGGAAAGAGCGUCGACCUCUGGACCGGAAAGAGCGUCGACCUCUGGACCGGAAAGAGUGUCGACCUCUGGAGUGGAUGAGGUGUCAACCUCUGGACUGGAAAGAGCGUCAACCUCUGGAGUGGUUGAGGCGUCGACCUCAGGACAUGAGGAGGAGUCGACCACAGGACUGGAAGGGGUGUCGACUUCAGGACUGGGGGCAUCGACCUCCAUCAACUUCUGGUCCGGGGGCGUCGAUUCCUGGUCUAGAGGCGUCGACUUCUGGACCGUCGGCUUCUGGACCGUCGGCUUCUGGACCGUCAACUUCUGGUCCGGGGGCGUCAACUUCUGGUACGGGGGCAUCGGCUUCUGGACCGCCGGCAUCUGGACCAUCGGCUUCUGGACCGUCAACUUCUGGUCCGGGGGCGUCGGCUUCUGGUCCGUCGGGUUCUGGACCGUCAACUUCUGGUCCGUCAACUUCUGGUCCGUCAACUUCUGGUUCUGGUCCAGGGGCGUUGACUUCUGGUCCGUCGGCUUCUGGACCACCGGCUUCUGGACCGCCGGCCUCUGGACCACCAGCUUCUGGACCACCGGCUUCUGGAGUAGAGGAGGAGCUUCUGCAGACGGGACCACCUGGACAGGCUGUACCGGAUGGGGUGCGACCUCCAGGACCACCGCUGGAACUGGAUGCGAUGCGACCUCCGGGACCACCGCUGGAACAGAAUGCGGCGCGACCUCUGGGACCACCGCUGGAACUGGCGCUGACUGGACUGGUGGCACGGGACCUGGCGCUGACUGUACUGGUGGCACGGGACCUGGCGCUGAAUGGACUGGUGGAGCGGGACCUGGCGCUGACUGGACUGGUGGCGCGGGACCUGGUGGAGCCGGUAACUGGAAAAGCAGGUUGGAUAGAUUGUCCAGCUGGAACUCCUGGAGACUGAGGACCUGA
This 1206-nucleotide long non-coding RNA is filed under the name Nothobranchius furzeri (turquoise killifish). RNAcentral describes it as "lncRNA (ENSNFUG00015004697.1)". Lineage: Eukaryota; Metazoa; Chordata; Actinopteri; Cyprinodontiformes; Nothobranchiidae. The record is from RNAcentral.